UCCACAGUAGCUCAGUGGCAGAGCUAUCGGCUGUUAACCGAUCGGUCGUAGGUUCGAGUCCUACCUGUGGAGCCA
RNAcentral lists this transfer RNA (75 nucleotides) under Staphylococcus aureus. RNAcentral describes it as "tRNA-Asn". It matches the Rfam family "tRNA". Rfam says of the family: Transfer RNA (tRNA) molecules are approximately 80 nucleotides in length. Their secondary structure includes four short double-helical elements and three loops (D, anti-codon, and T loops). RNAcentral also lists the same sequence under 1 other name. The record is from RNAcentral. Lineage: Bacteria; Bacillati; Bacillota; Bacilli; Caryophanales; Staphylococcaceae.